Molecule: long non-coding RNA, 516 nt
Filed under: Jatropha curcas
Lineage: Eukaryota; Viridiplantae; Streptophyta; Magnoliopsida; Malpighiales; Euphorbiaceae
Description: long non-coding RNA (JCUR_LNC001955)
Source: RNAcentral
AUGGCAUUUUUCACGCCUAGUUCAGGCCAUUGAGGCAUAACCCAGUGCAAAGCAUUACAAGCAUAAGCACCAUAUCCUCGCCUGUGCAGGACCUGGUAAAAUGGCUUGUGCAAGAAUCGAAGAUAAUAAGGUAAGUCAUUUAUUCUCUUCCACGAGUCAUUUUUCAAACUGUAAAUUUUCACCUCAUAAUCAUAAUCAAAAACCUCACACCCAUCAUCGUCACCAGAAAAAGUAGCCAUUCUAAUUAGUUUAUAAUCCUCAUUACUAGAAUCAUAUCCGAAACCGUAAAACACAUACCCAGUUUUUAAAGCUCUAUGCGGUGGCUUAAUUUCUGAAACUGGAAGUCUUUUACACUUUCUCGUUGAUAGGUUAUAGAAGGCGACAUCUCGCUCCGAAUUUCGCAAAGCCACCAACCCAUUACAUGAACCGACGGCUUCAGUACCCCCGCCGAUAUGUAAAGGGUGGACUAGGGUUUCAACUGAGGGUACAGAACCAGGGACAUCAAGGGAAUCGAAA